Long non-coding RNA from Mytilus californianus (California mussel), 3519 nucleotides. RefSeq lists it as uncharacterized. Lineage: Eukaryota; Metazoa; Mollusca; Bivalvia; Mytilida; Mytilidae. The transcript has 9 exons. The record is from RefSeq and is a predicted model, not a curated record.
UGUUCCAAAACGUUGGAACCAAUCAGAUUAUUAUUUACUUUGUAAGCGUUGGUUUGAUUCGAUGGGGGUGUGUCUUUUAAAUGUAUGACGAGUAGCCUCUGUAUGAAGCAUAGAUCUCCUAUGUGAAGGCAUGGAAAGUGUAUUAUGGCGACUCGUUGGCGGUAACAACAAAACAUAUUUUGUGGAGAAUUUCAAUGAUAAACAUCCAGUAUCUGCUAUUAUUUGUUUGGCUGUUGUUAAUAAUGUCAUUGUAUCGACUGGUUCAGUACAGAUGAAGUCCAUGUUUGUUCAAAAUGAGCAUGUGACAAAGACGUACACAGAUAUACUUCUUGGCAUGCAGUUUAAUGAGGCAGACAACACGCCAGAUCAGGCUCCAGAUGAUAAUAUUGUCUCAAUACCAUACUCUUCUGUGCUGGAAACCAAUGUCUAUGAUUUGGAUGUUGGCAUCAUGAGAUCGCUGAUAUCCCAAGCAGCUGGACCAAUGACUUCUCUAUCUAUAUAUAAAUGGUACCGAAGAAGAAUGCGUAGAAACUGUCAACCAUGAUCCAAUAGAGCCUCAGGAAACAGGAGAAGGGGACAAGGUAGUGCAGGAGACUGAUGAAGAAUAAGUGGGCGUAAUAGUUCAAGAGACAGGACAGGAGAAAGGGCAAGAGCCAGAGGGGGAAACACACGUUAGAUAUGAAGAUAAUUCAAUACAUGUGUUUUUUAUGUCUGUUUAGGUUUAGGAACUUUUAAUUAUUCAUAUAUAAUUAAAGUCAUUCAUUGUAUAUAUUAAAACAAAAUAUGUUGUAUAAUUGCCAAUGGCAAUGAUACAACUUUCAACCAGAGACCAAAUGAUAUAGAAGUUAACAACUAUAGUUCACUGUUCAGCCUGCAACAAUGAGCAAAACCCAUGCCACUUAUCUAGCCAUGAAAGUCCUGAAAUGACAAAUGAUAAACAAAUAAAAUCUGAAAACUAACAGUUUGAUUCGUGUACAAAAUAAUAUACAAAUAUGAUAACAGAAGACAACCAAUGAAUUACACUGGAUUUAGUGUAAAUAAAUCAUUAACAGUCAUUAACAUUUAGAGAAAAACAUGACCUUAUGAAAUAACAAGAUACAGGUAUCAACAGAUGUGUGUAUAUAUUUAGUAUGAUUUUAAUUUACUGAUAGAAUAUUCAAUAUUUAUUCAAAUAUAAACAAUAUUUAAAGAUCUAAUUACAGUGUUAAAUUUUUAUUCUUUUAGAAUAAGUUUAUUUAAUGAUUGAUAACUUUACCCAGAGCAUACCUAAAUUUUUAAAGCUCGGUAAACAACAUGAUAUAGAAAAUCAAUAUUAUUUUUAAAGAAGUCUUUAACUUUUACAGCAACAGGAGAUAUUAAAUAUUAUUUUUUAUAAUGUUUUUGUUUUUUUUACCAAAUAUGUGGGUUUUUUUUAAAUAAAAGUAGAUGCACUGAAAACAUUUUAAGAUUGAAGUGUAUUUUAUAGGUGAAAAGAGAAAGAAUACACUCAAUUUUCAUGGAAGAGAAGAAUCCAAAGAGAAAACUGACCCGUGGGUUAAAUCAACCCUGCAGCAGGUGAAUGCAGCCUCAACAGCAGAGGAGGUAGAGUAUGGAUGCCGAAAAGAGCUGGUCUCGACUAUUCAAUAUCCAUACAGGGACGGAACAUUGAAUACUACACAAAUUUGCAGGUUAAAGACAUGGAUAUGGAUUUCAAUAUGAUAGUCAACAAUGUGGAACAAAUGCAUAGCCUGAAAAAAGAGGUGUUUUCCAGAGAAGCUAAUGGGAAACUCAGAUGGGCUCUUAGAAGUGGUCGGUUUGGUCCAUUUACAGAAGAGUUUGUUUUGAUACAAGUUCUAUGUAAAAAAGAAGAAGUAAGUUCUAUGUAAAAAAGAAGAAGUAAACAGGCUGGUGGCUGAACUGGUUCUUCUAAGACAUAAAUCAUGCUGACCACUGUAUAUCAUUUCAUGUUGACCACUGCAUAUCAUUGUUACAUCCAUUUUCAUUUUUAUUUUUUAUCUUCAAAAAACUUUUAUCUGUAGAUAUUUGUAGCAAAACAUAUUGACUAAACCUAUAUUUAAAGUGACAGUCCAUAUAUUUGAAUUUGUUUUAUGAUUUAUAAUCUCUUAUAUCAACUUUUUUAUUCGAAAAUAUUAAUCCUUAGCUGAAAAUGUCACUCAAAUUUAUCACACAAAACCUUUUUUGGAACCCAAUAAUCAUUAUAAUUGAUAACAUAUAUAUAUGACUUAUUUUUUCAUUAUAUUAUAAUUGAAAAAUAUAAUUGUUAAAACUCUUAACUAUAAAAUUAUGUAAUUAUCUAAAUGCAGCAUGGAAAAUGAGAUGUCAAAUUAUUACUUAAGGUAGAUCAUAGGUAUAUAUUUCCUCAGAUAGAAUUUUUUUAUACUUUGCCAAAGUAAAGAUUUUUCUAUGCUUUUUCCAAAACUAUAAUAAAAAGUAUGGGUCACCGUGCUUAUUUUCAAGCUACGGGUUGUACGAAAUUGCACAAAUUUGCUUAGAUUGUUUAUGAAAAAACACAUUUUUGUGCUUAAAAAGAAAUCUAUGAGAUAGAAUUUUGAAAUAUGAUAUGAGAAGAUAGGUUUUAUAAUAUGCUUUAAGAAAAUAAAAAGAAAAAAUGGUGUCACCGAAAUUGUUUUCUUGCUACAAGUAAAAAAUUAAAAUUUCCCUAUCAGUCCAGUAUAAAUUUUUUAAUAAAAGAGUUAUCUCCCCUUAAAUGGCCAAGCUGAAAAAUGAUUCUAAAAACACAAUUAUUUGGUAUUUAUUUAAACAUUUUUAAUAAUGCAAUAAAACACCAAGUUUUCUUUCAUUAAAUAAACAGUCUAACCUAUAAAUUGCCUAUCUGUCUCCAAAUUUGCAGAUUUGGGCAAAGAUCUAGACCGAUUGUGUACUGCGAUUGUACAAUCCAAGAUGGCGGUAUACCAUGAAUCUACCUUAACAUUGUAUCAUUUGUGUUGUUUUCUGCUGUUUAUUAUUGUGUCAUAUAUGUAAUAUAUGUUUUGGUUGCAAUAGCAUGUAAAUUUAUUUCUGCAAAUAAACUCAUUUCAUUUAUUGAUUCAUAUUCAAUUAUAUAAAUUUUCAAGGCUUGAAAGAGUCAGAUUUUACCAUGAAUAAUACAGAAAUUAUGUUUUUUCUACAAUCAUUGAAGUAGUUGAAAUUGACAUUGAUAUCUCAUUUAUAUUGAUCACAUAUUAUACAAUGUGUGUUAUAUCAUAUAAGUACACACUAAUGUUUUAUUAAAUAACUAGUUAUUUACAUAUGCUAUAUUGCUAUUCAAAUUUGUUUUAUUACUAUUGAUAAACAUCACAACCAUAGACCCUAUUACUGUUAUUCCUAAUAGGAAUCCAUCUACUACAUUAACAAAAGAAAAUUUGUUGGAAAUGUUUAAAUCAAUUUUUUCCAUCAAACCGGAUUAAUUUUAUCUAAUUUAUUAUAUUUCUUUGUAAAAUAUUGAAUUUUAAGUUUAGGACUGUUAGGCAUGUAUAAAAAUUUUUUUUUAUAAUUAUGAAUAAAUAUUUUUUAAAUUUA